GCCGAGGUCGCAUAACCAGGUAGUGCGCCAGACUUGAGAUCUGGUGCCCGUAAGGGCUUGGGAGUUCAAAUCUCUCCCUCGGCG
This 84-nucleotide transfer RNA is filed under the name Microcaldota archaeon. RNAcentral describes it as "Candidatus Micrarchaeota archaeon (hot springs metagenome) tRNA-Ser". It matches the Rfam family "tRNA". From Rfam's summary of the family: Transfer RNA (tRNA) molecules are approximately 80 nucleotides in length. Their secondary structure includes four short double-helical elements and three loops (D, anti-codon, and T loops). The record is from RNAcentral. Lineage: Archaea; Nanobdellati; Microcaldota.